AUGUUUUCUUUUUUGGGUAAAUUCCUCCCUUGAGGUUAGUCAAUAUUAUAUAGACUAGUAACGAUGUACACUCCUUAUUAUUCUGUUAUUCUCCUAACUCCUAGAAAAAGUAAAAUUUGCAUUUAUUAUCUUGUUAUCAUAAGAAGCAUUCUAAAUUCUCCUUGUUUAGAAAUUAUGAGGAUAUCUGGGAUGAUGGUUUAGGAGGGAUGCAUCUUUAUUCUUUUGUAAAGUUUAGGUGAUACUGCACUUGAUACCUUUGUAUUUCGUAAUAACCUCCCUUGAUAAACAUUAAGCGUUGCAUGAUGUUGAAAUUUACUUAGUAUGGCUGGAAAUACGAUUGAUGCCGCAUUUUCUUUUCAAUGCAGCUUCUGUUCCAGACUCUGUGAAAGCUGAGUUGUUACAACGAAUUAGAUCAUUUCUUGCAUCGGCUGCUAUAUGAUCAUGAUAGCAUUGUAUCAGUGUGUGCAUUCUCUGAAUGGUAAGAGGCACGAACUCCACAACUAUCUAUCCUGUCAACUGUUGUUUAGUGUAAUAUUAUCUGUAAAGUUUGGACAAGCUUUAUAGGUUACAUCAUGUUUGAAAAAGAGAAAAGCAAAAAUGGGGGGUGGGUUUUCUGAGUUCUGUCCAGGCAUGUAAACUUCAGGUUGAGUAUUCUUGUUUCCCAAUCAAAUUGCUAGGCAUAGUUCAUGAAAAAUAUUAGAAACACUAAAUUGUAACAUCCUUAUCUACUUGUAUUCCCUCCUGAGUGCUUAGUU
This 755-nucleotide long non-coding RNA is filed under the name Arachis ipaensis. Its description in RNAcentral is "long non-coding RNA (AIPA_LNC001034)". Lineage: Eukaryota; Viridiplantae; Streptophyta; Magnoliopsida; Fabales; Fabaceae. The record is from RNAcentral.